CAGUAGCCACGGGAAUACGUAGGUGGCAAGCGUUGUCCGGAAUUAUUGGGCGUAAAGGGCUCGCAGGCGGUUUCUUAAGUCUGAUGUGAAAGCCCCCGGCUCAACCGGGGGGGGUCAUUGGAAACUGGGAAACUUGAGUGCAGAAGAGGAGAGCGGAAUUCCACGUGUAGCGGUGAAAUGCGUAGAGAUGUGGAGGAACACCGGUGGCGAAGGCGGGUUGCUGGGCCGACACUGACGCUGAUGCGCGAAAGCCAGGGGAGCAAACGGGAUUAGAUACCCCCGUAGUCCCUGUCUCUUAUAC
RNAcentral lists this ribosomal RNA (301 nucleotides) under uncultured bacterium. RNAcentral's name for it is "partial 16S ribosomal RNA". It matches the Rfam family "Bacterial small subunit ribosomal RNA", at positions 509 to 807 of the family's 1533-position model. The record is from RNAcentral.